RNAcentral lists this ribosomal RNA (253 nucleotides) under uncultured prokaryote. RNAcentral's name for it is "partial 16S ribosomal RNA". It matches the Rfam family "Bacterial small subunit ribosomal RNA", at positions 524 to 776 of the family's 1533-position model. The record is from RNAcentral.
UACAGAGGCCUCGAGCGUUAGGCGGAAUCACUGGGCUUAAAGCGCGUGUAGGCGGAUCGUUAAGUACCUUGUGAAAUCCCACGGCUCAACCGUGGAACUGCUGGGUAUACUGGCGGUCUUGGGCCAUCGAGGGGUCGCCGGAACAAGCGGUGGAGCGGUGAAAUGCGUAGAUAUCGCUUGGAACGCCAAAGGUGAAGACAGGCGACUGGAGAUGUGCCGACGCUGAGACGCGAAAGCCAGGGGAGCGAACAGG